UCAAGCUACAAAGAGCACAAGGGGAAUGCCUUGGCACCGAGAGCCGAUGAAGGACGUGACUAACUGCGAUAAGCUACGGGGAGCUGUAAGUGAGCGUUAUAUCCGUAGAUUUCCGAAUGGAGCAAUCCGAUUAGAGGAAAGUCUAAUCAUCAUAUACUGAAUACAUAGGUAUAUGAGGGGAACCGCCUGAACUGAAACAUCUAAGUAGGGCGAGGAAGAGAAAUCAACUGAGAUUCCGUAAGUAGUGGCGAGCGAACGCGGAAGAGGCCAAACCUAAUGUAGUAAUAUGUUAGGGGUUCGGACAGUAUAAUGAAUUGUCAAGAUUUAGCCGAAUGUCAUGGGAAGGGCAAUCAAAGAAGGUGAAAAUCCUGUAGGCGAAAAGUUAAGACAUCAGACUGUAUCCAGAGUACCGCCGGACACGUGAAACCCGGUGGGAAUACGGGGGGACCAUCCUCCAAGCCUAAAUACUACUCGGUGACCGAUAGAGAAGAAGUACUGUGAAGGAAAGGUGAAAAGCACCCCGGAAGGGGAGUGAAAGAGAACCUGAAACCUUGUGUUUACAAGCACCGAAAGUUCAUCAACGAACGAUCGGGUACCUUUUGUAGAAUGGUCCGGCGAGUGAAUGUAACUGGCAAGGUUAAGCACUUAAGGUGUGAAGCCGUAGCGAGAGCGAGUCUGAAAAGGGCGCAUGAAGUCAGUUGUAUUCGACCCGAAACCGGGUGACCUACCCAUGUCCAGGCUGAAGUGCAGGUAAAACUUCAUGGAGGGCCGAACCGACUCCCGUUGAAAUGGUAGCGGAUGAGGUGUGGGUAGCGGAGAAAUUCCAAUCGAACCCGGAGAUAGCUGGUUCUCUCCGAAAUAGCUUUAGGGCUAGCCUUGGAAUAGAUUACUGGAGGUAAAGCACUGAAUUGGCUAGGGGCCGAGAGGUUACUGAACCUUAUCAAACUAAGAAUGCCAGAUAAUCGUUUUCCAGGAGUCAGACAGUGGGAGAUAAGUUUCAUUGUCAAAAGGGAAACAGCCCAGACCUACAGCUAAGGUCCCAAAGUAUAGUUAAGUGGAAAAGGAUGUGGAAUUGCAUAGACAACCAGGAUGUUGGCUUAGAAGCAGCCACUCAUUAAAAGAGUGCGUAAUAGCUCACUGGUCGAGUGAUUCUGCGCCGAAAAUUUAACGGGGCUAAACUAUACACCGAAGCUUAGGAUACCGCAAGGUAUGGUAGGAGAGCGUUCUGUACGGAGUGAAGUCGUAGCGAAAGCGGCGGUGGACUGUACAGAAGUGAGAAUGCCGGAAUAAGUAGCGAGAAUUAAGUGAGAAUCUUAAUGGCCGAAAGUCUAAGGUUUUUGGAGGAAGGUUCGUCCGCUCCAAGUAAGUCGGGAGCUAAGGUCAGGCCGAAAGGCGUAGCCGAUGCACAAACGGUUGAUAUUCCGUUACCGUCUACAAUUUAAACAAAGGGACACAUACAAAGCGUUUAACCCGGGCGAUGGUUGACCCGGGCGCAAGGGACUGAAAUAAGAGUAGGGAAGUAAAUGUAGCGUAUGGCGAGAAAAGCUUUGUGUAUAGAAGUAGACGCCCGUACCGCAAACCGACACAGGUGGACAGGAAGAGAAUUCUAAGGCCAGCGGGAGAAGGGUAGUUAAGGAACUCGGCAAAUUGACUCCGUAACUUCGGAAUAAGGAGUGCUCGAAAGAGCCGCAGAGAAUAGGCCCAGGCGACUGUUUAGCAAAAACACAGGUCUCUGCCAAAUCGAAAGAUGAAGUAUAGGGGCUGACACCUGCCCGGUGCCGGAAGGUUAAGAGGAGGAGUGCAAGCUCCGAAUUGAAGCCCCGGUAAACGGCGGCCGUAACUAUAACGGUCCUAAGGUAGCGAAAUUCCUUGUCGGGUAAGUUCCG
Molecule: ribosomal RNA, 1886 nt
Filed under: human gut metagenome
Description: bacterial LSU rRNA
Rfam family: Bacterial large subunit ribosomal RNA
Source: RNAcentral